This 253-nucleotide ribosomal RNA is filed under the name uncultured bacterium. RNAcentral describes it as "partial 16S ribosomal RNA". It matches the Rfam family "Bacterial small subunit ribosomal RNA", at positions 524 to 776 of the family's 1533-position model. The record is from RNAcentral.
UACGGGGGGAGCAAGCGUUGUUCGGAUUUACUGGGCGUAAAGGGCGCGUAGGCGGCGCAACAAGUCACUUGUGAAAUCUCAGGGCUUAACCCGGAGCGGCCAAGUGAUACUGUCGUGCUAGAGUGCGGAAGGGGCUACUGGAAUUCUCGGUGUAGCGGUGAAAUGCGUAGAGAUGUGGAGGAACACCGAUGGCGAAGGCGGCAUCCUGGACCGGUAUUGACGCUGAGGCGCGAAAGCUAGGGGAGCAAACGGG